CCGGUGCCCAUUCAAAACCCUAACUCAAGAAACCCCCAAACCCCAGAGACAAAUGGGUCGUGUGAUCCGUGCUCAGCGUAAGGGUGCAGGCUCCGUCUUCAAGUCCCACACCCACCACAGGAAAGGCCCUGCGAGAUUCCGCUCUCUCGACUUCGGCGAACGCAAUGGGUACCUGAAGGGUGUGGUCACAGACGUUAUCCACGAUCCAGGUCGAGGCGCUCCGCUUGCCCGGAUCACAUUUCGUCACCCAUUCCGCUACAAGCACCAGAAGGAGCU
This 276-nucleotide unclassified non-coding RNA is filed under the name Hevea brasiliensis (rubber tree). The record is from RNAcentral. Lineage: Eukaryota; Viridiplantae; Streptophyta; Magnoliopsida; Malpighiales; Euphorbiaceae.